UGGGGAAUCUUAGACAAUGGGGGGAAACCCUGAUCUAGCCAUGCCGCGUGAGCGAUGAAGGCCUUAGGGUUGUAAAGCUCUUUCAGCUGGGAAGAUAAUGACGGUACCAGCAGAAGAAGCCCCGGCUAACUCCGUGCCAGCAGCCGCGGUAAUACGGAGGGGGCUAGCGUUGUUCGGAAUUACUGGGCGUAAAGCGCACGUAGGCGGAUUAGUCAGUCAGAGGUGAAAUCCCAGGGCUCAACCCUGGAACUGCCUUUGAUACUGCUAGUCUUGAGGUCGAGAGAGGUGAGUGGAAUUCCGAGUGUAGAGGUGAAAUUCGUAGAUAUUCGGAGGAACACCAGUGGCGAAGGCGGCUCACUGGCUCGAUACUGACGCUGAGGUGCGAAAGCGUGGGGGAGCAAACAGGAUUAGAUACCCUGGUAGUCCACGCCGUAAACGAUGAAUGCCAGUCGUCGGGUUGCAUGCAAUUCGGUGACACACCUAACGGAUUAAGCAUUCCGCCUGGGGAGUACGGUCGCAAGAUUAAAACUCAAAUGAAUUGAC
RNAcentral lists this ribosomal RNA (543 nucleotides) under uncultured bacterium. RNAcentral's name for it is "partial 16S ribosomal RNA". It matches the Rfam family "Bacterial small subunit ribosomal RNA", at positions 355 to 914 of the family's 1533-position model. The record is from RNAcentral.